RNAcentral lists this ribosomal RNA (1437 nucleotides) under Klebsiella sp. enrichment culture clone HSL101. RNAcentral's name for it is "Raoultella sp. enrichment culture clone HSL101 16S ribosomal RNA". It matches the Rfam family "Bacterial small subunit ribosomal RNA". The record is from RNAcentral. Lineage: Bacteria; Pseudomonadati; Pseudomonadota; Gammaproteobacteria; Enterobacterales; Enterobacteriaceae.
ACACAUGCAGUCGAGCGGUAGCACAGAGAGCUUGCUCUCGGGUGACGAGCGGCGGACGGGUGAGUAAUGUCUGGGAAACUGCCUGAUGGAGGGGGAUAACUACUGGAAACGGUAGCUAAUACCGCAUAACGUCGCAAGACCAAAGUGGGGGACCUUCGGGCCUCAUGCCAUCAGAUGUGCCCAGAUGGGAUUAGCUAGUAGGUGGGGUAAUGGCUCACCUAGGCGACGAUCCCUAGCUGGUCUGAGAGGAUGACCAGCCACACUGGAACUGAGACACGGUCCAGACUCCUACGGGAGGCAGCAGUGGGGAAUAUUGCACAAUGGGCGCAAGCCUGAUGCAGCCAUGCCGCGUGUAUGAAGAAGGCCUUCGGGUUGUAAAGUACUUUCAGCGAGGAGGAAGGCGUUAAGGUUAAUAACCUUGGCGAUUGACGUUACUCGCAGAAGAAGCACCGGCUAACUCCGUGCCAGCAGCCGCGGUAAUACGGAGGGUGCAAGCGUUAAUCGGAAUUACUGGGCGUAAAGCGCACGCAGGCGGUUUGUUAAGUCAGAUGUGAAAUCCCCGGGCUCAACCUGGGAACUGCAUUUGAAACUGGCAAGCUUGAGUCUUGUAGAGGGGGGUAGAAUUCCAGGUGUAGCGGUGAAAUGCGUAGAGAUCUGGAGGAAUACCGGUGGCGAAGGCGGCCCCCUGGANCAAGACUGACGCUCANGUGCGAAAGCGUGGGGAGNCAACAGGAUUAGAUACCCUGGUAGUCCCACGCUGUAACGAUGUCGACUUGGAAGGUGUUCCCUUUGAGAGUGGCUUCCCGGAGCUACGCGGUUAAGUCGACCGCCUGGGGAGUACGGCCGCAAGGUUAAAACUCAAAUGAAUUGACGGGGGCCCGCACAAGCGGUGGAGCAUGUGGUUUAAUUCGAUGCAACGCGAAGAACCUUACCUACUCUUGACAUCCAGAGAACUUAGCAGAGAUGCUUUGGUGCCUUCGGGAACUCUGAGACAGGUGCUGCAUGGCUGUCGUCAGCUCGUGUUGUGAAAUGUUGGGUUAAGUCCCGCAACGAGCGCAACCCUUAUCCUUUGUUGCCAGCGAUUCGGUCGGGAACUCAAAGGAGACUGCCAGUGAUAAACUGGAGGAAGGUGGGGAUGACGUCAAGUCAUCAUGGCCCUUACGAGUAGGGCUACACACGUGCUACAAUGGCAUAUACAAAGAGAAGCGACCUCGCGAGAGCAAGCGGACCUCAUAAAGUAUGUCGUAGUCCGGAUUGGAGUCUGCAACUCGACUCCAUGAAGUCGGAAUCGCUAGUAAUCGUAGAUCAGAAUGCUACGGUGAAUACGUUCCCGGGCCUUGUACACACCGCCCGUCACACCAUGGGAGUGGGUUGCAAAAGAAGUAGGUAGCUUAACCUUCGGGAGGGCGCUUACCACUUUUGAUUCAUGACUGGGGU